GACGAACGCUGGCGGCGUGCUUAACACAUGCAAGUCGAACGGAAAGGCCCUGCUUUUGUGGGGUGCUCGAGUGGCGAACGGGUGAGUAACACGUGAGUAACCUGCCCUUGACUUUGGGAUAACUUCAGGAAACUGGGGCUAAUACCGGAUAGGAGCUCCUGCUGCAUGGUGGGGGUUGGAAAGUUUCGGCGGUUGGGGAUGGACUCGCGGCUUAUCAGCUUGUUGGUGGGGUAGUGGCUUACCAAGGCUUUGACGGGUAGCCGGCCUGAGAGGGUGACCGGCGACAAUGGGACUGAGAGACGGCCCAGACUCCUACGGGAGGCAGCAGUGGGGAAUAUUGCACAAUGGGAGGAAGCCUGAUGAAGAAACGCCGCGUGCGGGAUGACGGCCUUCGGGUUGUAAACCGCUUUCGCCUGUGACGAAGCGUGAGUGACGGUAAUGGGUAAAGAAGCACCGGCUAACUACGUG
Molecule: ribosomal RNA, 468 nt
Filed under: uncultured bacterium
Lineage: Bacteria
Description: partial 16S ribosomal RNA
Rfam family: Bacterial small subunit ribosomal RNA
Source: RNAcentral